This 18569-nucleotide long non-coding RNA is filed under the name Prunus persica (peach). RNAcentral describes it as "long non-coding RNA (PPER_LNC002913)". The stretch from base 17260 to 17332 matches the Rfam family "tRNA". Lineage: Eukaryota; Viridiplantae; Streptophyta; Magnoliopsida; Rosales; Rosaceae. The record is from RNAcentral.
CCCCAUGCAUCUUUAGCAGGUCAGCGAGUUGGUGGUUUUUUUAAUGAUAAGUGGAAUAAUUAGCUUCAAUGUAGACAGCACUUUUUUAAAGAGCUUAUCCAAACAUAAAAGAUUCUUGGAUUCUCUUUUCUUGUAAUUUAUCAUAAUUUUGGAUUUCUUAUCAGGCUCAGCUGAGUGGUGCAAUUAAACCAUCAAAGGAUCAAAUCAACUUAACAAUUGCCCUAUGUGCCUCCCAGGCAGACAUUCUAUAACAGCAGCACUAUCAGAAAUCUGUUUCAAUUAGGAUCAUAUUCUUCUACUAUGAAUAUGAUAGCAGGAAAUUUUCUUUCUUUUUUUUUUUUUUUUUGUACACGCUCAUCAUUCUUAACCUUCUUUUGGUUUCAACGUCCUUAUCACUGCUGCUGUUCUUUGUUGCCUGUGUGUUUUACAUUCACCACCGAAAAUAAUGUCGGUUUAGUUUCAUUCUACAUGUGUACAAAAUAAUCAAAGUAGUAGGAACAAAAGGAUAUAAAAGGUAAUAAGCAGCAAGCAUCGUACUCAAUAUAAUCAAUAAACAUCAUAGUAAAGAGCUAGAUUUACUUCAAACAUGCAUAGAUAGCAGCUUUAUAACUUCCUAGCACAGCAUACUAAAAGGUUCAAAUUAGGCAUUAAGAUCAAACCUUCCCCUUCUUUGUUUUGAGAAGGAUUGCAUAGGCCAAAAUGGCUUCCUUGUACUGCAAACAGUAUUGUAAAGAAAAAAGGAAAAUAGUUUAAUUUGGGGACAUUUUAUAAGUAAACUGCAAGGAAGAAAGCGAAAACAUCAUAUCUUCUUUAAUAGGUUUAUUUGCACAAGUCUUAUUACGCAAAGAAUUUGGCUUAAAACAAGACAAUUUUUAGAAGGAAAAGAAAACACUGGGCUUUGUAGAUCACAUAAAGCAUUCCAAAAUUUAUAUUUUUCUCCUUAGAUGUCAGACUAAAUUUGUGCUACAAUCAAGAUCUACAUUCAGAAGAACAUAAAUAUGAUUUUCCCAACCAGAGGACUCAUUUAUAAUUUACGAAUUUGACCUUUAUCUUAAGAUCUUCGCUAAAAUCAAGAGAUGUCAUGUAGAGGAAAUAUGUAAGACCAAACCAAUAGCAGUGCCUAACCUAACAUGUGACUAAACCAUUUACUAGAGAAUCUGACUGAAUGAGGCAACUAAUUAAAACUAUUUCUUCUGGUCUAAUUACAGAAUGCAACUUAUUGUUUUUUAACAUUAUUAUUUCUUUUGCUUGAAAUUUAGGAAGUUACUUGUGAUUUGCGUAAAAACCAAUUGAACUCCCAGCAAAUGAAACUCUAAGCUGCUACAUUUUCCCCCCCUUAAUGUACCCUUCUCCCUACAUGUCCAGUGAACCCAAGUCAUUGAAGCAGAUCCUUACUUGCUGCUGUUCAGAAGCAUCGAGAAUAAAAUGAACUGAGCCAAAUCCACUUGCCAAGGUUUUCUCAUAAAGCGUCCUGUUGACCAAAAGCUAUAAUGCAAGGCUCCUUUAGGAAAUCACUUAAGUACUUUAAACUGAAUAUCGCAUUCAGAAAUAUAUAAUGGUAAACUCGGAAUAGAAAGAUGACGUUGACUCACUUGAUACCUAUCCCACGUCUGUUUGUAUCCCAAAACCACACGGGACACAUAAAUUAUGAGAGCGCUGAUUGCAACCACAUCAAGAAAUAUUGCUGACCUGUCAUUAUAUUAAAAUAAGAUAAAUUAAUGGCAAUUUCCAAGGAAAUUAAACUGCAUUUUGAGAGACAAUCUCAAUAGAAAAAUUAGUCAAAGGAAGGUGAAAAGGGAAUCACCGAGCACUAGAAUUAAGGGUCAUCUUGCUAUUAAAAAACAACUACUUAAAAACAAAGAGAAUGCAUACGGGGAAUAUAAGACAUUCUCAAAUUUGUAGUUUAUGAAGUAUGCUGAAAGCCCUAAUAUUGAGGCGAUGUCCAAGCGUACCUGCAAAUUAACAGAAUACGGCCAUGAGGCUCAAAAUACAAAAGGACUUUAUUCAAUAAUCAGCAUUAUCCUACUCUUUUUUCUCCUAAGUUAUCAAAUCAAAAUAUGAAUAACCACAGUAACUAGAACUCACUGCCAGUCAACAAGAAUGAAGCUGGGAUUGGUUCCAAAGGGGGAGAAAACCAUAAACAACCAAAUUAAUAGUUUUAGUAUCAUUCAUAUGCUUAUGCUAGGAUGCAUAGAUAGUUCGUAGCAAUGAAAAAAAAAAGCCUCCAAAUAAAUACAUUCAUUAAUUUUUCAAUAAUGGUUAUUUGUAGAGGACUAGCGAAUAGUAAUUUAAGAAGUCAAAAUUUUACUAAAAAGAUGGUAGCCAGGUGAGGAGAGGAGAUUCUACUUCUGGAAAUUAUCCAUCCACUAAGCUACACAAUUGUUAGCAUGUAACAAUGAUCUACAUACCGUGUCUAUGAUACGGAAAGAUAGCUUUUUGUGGGGAAAGAUAACCUACAAAUCAAAUUAAAAACAACAAGAAAAUCAAUAGGCAGGAACUAGAAAAAAUACUGAGUAACUUUGAAAAUAAAUUGCUAGAAGCAAUGACAAUUACAUUGGAUGAGCUUUAAAUUUGAGACAGAAGUAUUUACUGGUAGAUCCGGAAUAGGAAUUCUCUCGUAAAUCUUUAACUGCAGCGAUGGAACGUCAGCAUUAUCGUCAGUAUUGCUGUCAUCUACUUCUUUGGUAUAAAGCAGAAUCAAUUCUUGAAAUGCUGCCUCCUAAUUUGCAAAGACACCAAAUAUUAUUACCAUCAGCAUGUAACUAUAUCUACAACAGAAGAGAAAUACUAAUCAUCCUAGAAGGUUUGCUUAUACAAAAGAGGUAACUAAGGAAGUAGAAUCAAACUAUAUAUGAGCAGUACCUGGAGGAUUGACUGUGAGAAAAGAAUAGAAACGGAAGUUUUUAGCAUUUUCCAAAUGUCAUUUCCACAGUAUUUCCUUGUAGCAGGUCUCCAUAUGUCACUAAGUGAUAUCCUUGAUAAGAAAAUGGGCCUGUGCAAACAAUAUUACUAUUAUUUGACCAUUAAAGGUUCCAAAUAGAAAAUCCAUGACUAUAAGAGCAGGCCAAACAUUUGAAAUAUGAAAUCGCUUGUUAACAUGGCAUUAGAUUAAAUGGUCCUUCAUGCAACCAGUCAGUUUUUUGUUUCAAUCAAUUAACGUUUGAACUUCAAUGUGAAUACUUCAAGUCUAAUAUUUACAAUACAAUCAAUUCUAUAUAAUCUUCGAAAUAAAUAAGAGAUUAAAAAAAAAAAACCGAAUUCGAAACGUUUUUAAGAGAAGGAAACCAAUACACCAAAAAAAAUGUAAAAAAAAUUUAAGGGACCAACACCACUAUAUUGAGCUCAAAUUCAUUUUGGUCAAGAAGAUUGACAUUUGGUACUGCUUUCAGUUAGUUAAGUUAAUAGCUUCUCUUCAAGUUAGAGGAAAAGCAGCAAACAACUGGAUAUAGAAAAACAGGGAUAAAGUGUGAUGGAAUGUGAACAAAAAAAAAAAAAAUUAUUGGGAAAACCUUGCAUAAGGGUCAGAAGCAUUAGUAUCACCAUCCAACUCAAACGGUGUUUCUGGUGUAGGGGAAAUAAGUCCAAUCCAUGAAAGCAACUUCUUUAAGAGCCUUCCACGGGGUCCAACUGUAGAUAAAAGCCCUUCAUAACGAGAUACUGCUCUCUGUGCUGCCAACCAUAUUGGGAGGUCCCUAUCUGAUGGUUGCUCUACUCUCAGACGAUCAUCAGAAGUUUGUUCAUUAUAACGAAAUGCUUGCUGAAAAACAGACAGCUCCUUAAGCCAAAGUUGCAUUCUUUUAGUCAAAUCUUGUACUUCUGGAGUUUGACAAGCAACUUUGAAUGCCUGUCAUAAAGCAAGAGAGAAAAAGUAUGUCAAACUAAAUAUAGAAGAAAGGGGAAAAGAAACAAAAACCUCUAGGCUGCUGCCCAGGAUGAAGAGGCAGCCAUUGUUCUGAAAAAGACAAUGACCUCAGUUAUCCAGCUCCCAAAUCUCCCCAAUGGUUUUGAUACGAUGAAGAAGGCUCCUUGUAGAAGUUUGGACUGUAUGUAAUCCAGUUUUUCCACAAGUAGUAGGCCCUUCUGCCUCUCUGUUGCAUAUCCUCGCCUGGCAGGAGUCAAUAUUUAGAUAGUUUACUAUCUUGAAAGUGGUCAGCUCAACACUAAUGGUCACAUAAAUCCUGUUCAGGGAUCUUGACUCUUAACCAGAAACAUAAAAUCUAUGUUUUUUAAGAAUAAAAUUAGUCAUAAUGCAACACGGCUUCAUGAUUCAGCUUGAAUCAGUGUAAAGAUUAAUAUAAAAACUAGAAUCACCUGAAUAUUAUUGCAUUGGACUCAGAUGCCCUCUUCCAGUCAACAUAUACGGGCAAAGUAAGGAGAUAAUCAGUGUUCAAUGCAGAUGUCAGCAUUAAAUCCCUUUCUGAUAGUUCUUCAAACUGAGCAUCAUAAAGAAGUUGCAUGAAAGAAUGCUGGAAACGAGCGGAAACAGCAACUCUACAUCAAAAGAAAAUAUUGCAUAGGAUUGAUGUCAAAGGUUUCCAUACCAUGAGUCUGAAGAAGAAUUGAGAAUAAAUAUAGAACAUACAUUGUGCAAGCCUCCAAAAAAUUAAAAAGGAGAUCAUUCAAACUUUAACCUCAAACUGGCAUUGUAAAGAAAAUAACAAUAACCAACACAGUACCAUCUUUGUCCUAUUUCUGGAAUAAGAAUUAAUUUUAUAACAUGAAAUUAGAUAAAGAGUUGUCUUCUGAUACAAUUCAAAUCAAAUAUACUCUGUAACAAUUACAAGCAUACAGUUUUCCAGUGUUAGAGUGAGUAUAACAAAUCCUAGACCUGACGCACUAAGCAUAAUUCCUACCAUUGAAGCUUUUCAAAGCCUCCAGCUUGUGCUUGAUGAGUUUCCCAGUAGUUUACAAAUUGGGUAGUAAAAAUGAAGAAAAAUAUUAACUUAAAGAAAAAUUUGUGAUACCUCUUGACGUUCUUAGCCGAAGAACCCAAGAGUUUUUUCAACCCCAGAACAUAAUCGAAUGGCAUUUGCUUGUCAGCUUCAACUUUUUCAUUCCCAUCUGCCUCCGUACUCUCAACUCCAUUAAUGCCACUCCUAGCAGAAUCUGAGCCCUGCCCAUUAUUCACAACUUGUUCAUCAACCUCCUUAACUGUUUGCUUGUGUUCCAUGGAGUUGGAAUCAAAAUAAUCGGCUCGCAUUGCUUCCAAGAUGCUUUUGUGUUCAGCAUGAAGAAUAGAGUCCAAGCACCUGCAAAUUAAACAGCUUUUGGUUAUUCAAUAUUUCUUCGUUUCUUCCAGCCAUUGAAAUGGGUUCGAUGGGAUUACGAAGAGAGAAGAAGAAAGUAUUGGAGAGCAUCAUCUUCAUCGCCAUUUUUGUCUUGGAACACAGUCGAAACGACGCCGUCCAGCAGCUCAGCCUUGGAAACAGGGAUGUACUUCUGCCUGGGCACUGGGAUUUUAGAAAUUCCAUGCUCUUCUUCUUCUUCUUCUUCUUCUUCUUCUUCUUCUUGGUUAUCUGGGACGACGUCGUUCUGCUUCUGAUUCUUGCGGGCAUCUUUCAAGUUUAUAGCUUCAAUUUGUUUAGGCUCCGUGGACAGUUCUUGGAAUCCGGUGAGCGAGGAGUGGGCGACUGUGAGCGACUGAGAUACUGCGGCUGAUGCUGGUGAUGAUGAUGACGACGAUGGUAAUAGACGGCGGUGUUUUGAGGUUAACGAAAGAGCAGUGAGGCUGCUGAGUGUGUGCCAAGAAGCUGACAUGUCAGGAUUGAAAAUCAGAGAGCAGCAGAGUGCCAACCUCGUAUGUUGGAUAAGGGAAAAUGGCUUUUUUGGUCGAAGGGGAAAAAUGGUUUCUUUCUUUCUCCUACUUGCUUUGUUAUAUUUUACGCAUCAUUUUUAUCCCUAAUUUUUCUAUUAAAGCAAUGUAAUUCUCAUUCUCAUAUGUCACACAUCAAUGUCAUAUUCGAAAUCAAUUCUAAUUUAGUCUAAUAAUAAAUAUUUUAAGAAUAAAUUCAUCUUGACACUUUUGUUGGUCACGGACAAAUAUAACAUGAUCAAUUUGAUAGAAAAUUAAAUAUAAGUGAUAUGGUGUUAAGGUUGAUGUGUAAAAUAAGAAGACCUAAAUAAUAUUGAUCUCGUUAAAAUAAUAGGACUGAAAAUAGCAUGUUUGAAAUGUAGAUGAACAUUAAUCUUCAACUUAAUCACUAAUAAAAGUUAACUUAAAUGGCCUGAUUUUCAAUAUGAAGUUAUCAUUUUUCCCUUAAAAUAGUGGGAAAAACAAUAGAUGGAAAGAAAUAAAAUUACCAUACAUGCCUCAAAUAUGAAGACUCUAUUUCUUCGUAAUUAAUGAAAUAUUUUUCAAAAAAAAUCAUGAUGAACUAUUACAUUUGUAAAUUGCCUUUAUAUCCUUUCAGUGUUCCAAAUCACAUGUAAAUGUAACCUACUCUGUUUUUUCUCUGCCUCAACAUUAUCUCCUCCAUCCACCAUGACCACUCUGAGCACUCUCUUCCAUCUCCACACUUCACCUUCAAACCCUACCCUCUCUCACGCCUCUCCUCACCUCCACCUCUCUUGCUCUUUCAAACCCAAAACCCCCAAACCACCAUCUCUCUUCUCUUCAACAACACCACCACCUGCAAGAGACAGAGUCAUAGACUUUGGAAAACACAAGGGCAAGAUGCUAGGAACUCUCCCUUCAAGCUACCUCAGAUGGAUCUCCAAGAACCUCCGAGCCCGUGACUUUGAAGACUGGGCAAAGCUCGCAGACCAGGUCCUAGACGACGCCGUUUACAAGGACCGGAUCGAAUGGGAGUUGGCUGAGAACGUUCUGAAUGGUAACAGGAGCAGUGCUCUUGGUGCAGGUGGAGUUUCUGAGUUGUUGGAAAUGAGUGAGAGGUUUGGUUGGGAUAAUAAUGACAAGAUUGGUUGGAGAAAAGUGAAUUUUGAGCUUCUGGGUACUUCUAGAGGUGGAAGAAUUCCAAGACUGAGUGAAAAUGGAGGAGGAGAGAGAGAGGUGGAGAGGAUGAGGGAGAGGGAGAAGAAGAAGAAGGUUGAGGUUUUGGGGGAAGGUGGAGAGAGGAGGAGGGAGAGGAGGGGGAGAUUGAGAAUGAAGAGGGAAGACGGAGGUGGGGUGAGGGAGGAGAGGGAGGAGAAGUUGGGGAUUUUGGAAAAGGGUGGGGGUGAUAUUGGAAAUGAAGUUGGAUUAGGGAGGAACAAAGAGAAUGAUGAAGGUUGGAUGGUUGAGAAUUCAAACAGAUUUCCUGGACGUGAAGCUCUGUUGAAGAAGGCAUACAGCAGAAGAAUGAGAAGAUUUUCGUAAUUCUUUUGGGUUUCUUCUUCUUCUUUUCAUUUGAACUUUUUUCUGGUGAGUUUAGAGAGAUGGUGGAUUUAUGAGUGUGUGUAUUAGCAUACAUUCAAAUGGUGAUUAGUGAACGUGAAAUGUGACUGGAUUUUAAGAUUGAACAAUCUUUUAAUAAUUUUAGUUUAGCUUUGGCUUUCAGAUAAAACUAGAAUUUGUAAUUUUGGUCGUAUAAUGUCAACAUAAAAUAUAUAUAUAUAUAUGUAUAUAUAUAUAUAUAUAAUAUUUUAAGAGUACAGCCGCUCGGCUAUACUCUAUAAAUAGAAUAUUUUAACAGUACAGCCGCCCGGCUAUACCCUUUAAAUAGCAUAACCUGGAUUUCCCUUUUUUAAUUACUUUAAUUAGUAGUUAUGUUUUAAUAAUUAUUUACUUAGUAAAUAAUUAGUAUUUAAAUAUUUUAUUUUUAAAAAAUUAAUUACUAUUUAUUAAAUAAUACAAUUUAUGAAGUUAAUUAAAAUAUUUAAUACUCAUUAUUCACUAAGUAAAUAAUAAUUAAAAUAUAAUUACUAAUGAAAGUAAUUUAAUAAGGCUAAGAUAUUAUUUAAUUACUAAAAAGAAACUAAAUACAAAAAAUUAUUUACCUAAAAAUACUAAGUUUAUAUAUAUUUUUUUUAAACCUCUCCAGACGAAAUUUCAUCGGCACAUGUCUAUCUCGGCGAAAUGUUGCUGAAUUAGACCUAUAACGACGACAUUUCAUCGGCUAUGUAAAUUUUGUCGGGAGAAGUCUAAUCUAGCAUAGACAUUUGCCGACAAAAUUUCAUCGGGAGAAGUUUUUUUGCUUUUUUUAUUUCAUUUUAAAAAUAUAAAAUUAGUUUCUUUACUUUUGUAUUUUGGCCAACUUCUUUAAUUUAAUAUAUGUAAUUAAGUAAUAUCUUAGUCUUUACUUUAGUAAUUACGUUUUAAUUAUUAUUUCUUUAGUUAAUAUUUAAAUAUUUUGCUGAUUUCAACCUCUAUAUAUCUUUUUGUUUCACCAUGUAACUGGAAAUAUUUUUUUUUUGUGUACAUCUCUCUUCUCUAGUAACCGGUUUUUCUUUACAUCACUGAUUUUUUUGUGUACAUCUCUCUUCGUUGCAAGUAAGUUAUUUUCCACAACAGUUAUAGCACAUCUAAUAUUCUUUGUAGGCUGAAUUGUAGCAAUGGUCCAUAAACUAAGAUCAAACUUUACUUUUCGUCCCUCAUAUUGUUAAAUUGUUAUGGUUGUGUUUUAAUUAGAUCUCAUGUUGCAUCAUUGGUCUUUCCAUCAACUUAGUUAAAUUUUAUGUUAAAAUUAAGGGCAAAUUGGGAAAUUCACAACUCUCUCUCUCUCUCUCUCUCUCUCUCUCUCUCUCUCUCUCUCUCUCUUUCUCUCUCUCUCUCCUCCUGUGCGCUCUCCUUCUUCCCUGGACGAUUUCUUCUUCCCCCAUUCCCCCAUGACUACCACUUGCAAACUCCAACCCACAACCACCCUCUACUGUAGCCCGCAACCCCAACACCCACGGACCCAGAAUCCCAGCCCCCAUCCUCCACCCCAAAUUUGGUCAAAACAAAGAAGCAGAGGGUUGAUAGGUAUUCAUAUUUCAAGUGAUGAAAUUUCAAUUUUAGUUUUUUCUUUUAUCAUUUUGUUGAGACUUUAGAUUUGCUAGCUUCUUGGGUGGCUUUUAUCAUUUUGCUGAUAUCUGGAUAUGGGUUGUCUCAGUUUUCUUGUUUACUUUAGAUUUGCUAGCUUCUUAGUCAGGUGUAUUGAUUGUUGGCGUGACUUGUGGAUAUUGACUUACUUUCCUUACACACCAAGAAUUCCUAUUAUAAUUGUAAUUGAUUUACUUUAAUUCCUGAUUUCCUACUGUAAAUAGAUUUAGGAAUUUAUUAUUUACUUGCCCAUUCAGGUUUCGUUGUAUUAUAAAUAUGACCUCCUACAAGGAGAAGAAUACACAGAAAAUUCCCACAAACAAAUAUUCUCUCAUAAUUUUCAUAUUUUAGCAUGGUAUCAGAGCGGCGAUCUUGGAAUUGCUGACUCUAGUUUCAAAACCCCGCCGCCGCUAUGAGGGUUGAUGAUUUUUUCAACCCUCAUGGAGGUAGCACCACCGACUCCUUCUCUCAUUCUCAACCAACCAUCGUUGAGUUGAGUGCCCAGAUGGCUCUGACCCUACAGAUGCAGACUUUGACCCUGAACCCGAUCCAGAAUCAGGAUUCUCUUUUAACGACCCCGACCCCGACUAUGACGACGACGACCCCGACCCCGACUCCGAAGACGACCCCGACCCGCACUCCGAUGAUGACCCCAACCCCGAAUUUGUCUAUGAUUCAGACCCCGAUCCAGAAUCAGGAUCCUCUUUUGACGACCUCGACUCCGACCCCGACUAUGACGACGACGACGACCCUGACCCCGACUCCGAAGACGACCCCGACCCCCACUCCGAUGAUGACCUCAACCUCGAAUUUGUCUAUGAUUCAGACCCCGAUCCCGAUUUCGACUCCGACUCCGGCCCCGACUCAGGCUCAGAUUCUGAUCCAAAUUCCUACUCAACCUGUAUCCUAUGCUUCUUCCGCUGCACAGAUUAUGACUUCUAGACAAACGACCCCGACACAUGUACCAAAUUGCGCAUAUUGUGGUGAUCCGAGACACACUUGUGAGACUUGUUUUAAAUCGCAUGGCUACCCCGAUUGGUGGGCUACUCUUACAGAUCGAGGACAAUGCAAUAUGACCAGUAAUGGUACUGGUUAUGGAUUCCAUACUUCCGAUAAGAUUGAUUCCAAGAGCUGGAUAAUUGAUUCUGGUGCAACUGAUCAUAUGACGUUUGAUCUUGAUGAUUUUCUGAAUACUACACAACCUCGACGAACCUGUAUUGCAAAUGCCAAUGGUGUUACUUAUCCUGUGACAGGGGCUGGCACUGUUGCACUCUCAUCCUCUCUCACAUUGUCUAAUACUUUACUUGUUCCAUCUUUAUCCACUAAAUUGUUGUCAGUUAGUCAGCUUACUGAACAAUUGAAUUGUUGUGUACUCAUUUACCCGAGUUUUUGUUUGCUUCAGGAUAUUCACACUAAGGAGAUUCUUGGUCGUGGUACUAAGAGAGGGGGGCUAUAUUAUGUUGAUAACUUCAGUCCCGGCGUGGCUAACAGUGUGACACAUCCCUUUGAUAGCAAACAAAAGCAAAUCUGGUUGUGGCAUCGUCGAUUGGGACAUCCGUCUUUUAGUUAUAUGAAGCAUCUUAUACCAGAUUUAUUCUCAGGUUUUAAAGACUCCGACUUCACAUGUGAUACUUGUAUUUUGGCCAAGAGUCACCGUGUGCCCUACCCGUUGAGUACGAACAAGUGUACUACUCCAUUUACAUUAAUUCACUCUGAUGUCUGGGACCUUCGCCUAUCACUGCUCCUUCUGGUGUUCGAUGGUUUGUCACAUUCAUCGAUGAUUGUACACGGAUGACAUGACUUUAUUUGCUGAAGAAUAAAAACGAAGUGUUUUCCCGUUUUCAGUCCUUCCACAAACAGAUGAAAACUCAGUUUAAUGCUCAAAUCCAGAUUCUUCGCUCAGACAAUGGUGGAGAAUUUGUCAAUCAUGACUUUCAGACAUACUUCCAACAACAUGGAAUUAUCCAUGAGACGACUUGUCCUCAGACACCGCAACAAAAUGGUGUUGCUGAACGAAAGAAUCGACAUCUUCUUGAAACCGCCCGAGCACUUCUGAUUGGCGCUCAUGUUCCUCGCCAUCACUGGGAUGAUGCUAUUGUCACUGCAGUUCACCUGAUCAACCGCAUGCCUUCUGGUGUCUUGACCUUUAAAACUCCUUUACAGGUGCUUGCGCAACACAGACCUCUGCCCUCUGUUUUGGUACUCACACCCCGAAUCUUUGGAUGUGUGGCUUUCGUUCAUCUCCACAAAAAUCAACGUAGCAAACUUGAUCCCUGUGCGCUUCGUUGUGUUUUUGUGGGUUAUGCCACUCAUCAGAAAGGUUACCGCUGUUAUCACCCUCCUACUCAACGAACCUAUGUCACUUUGGAUGUGACUUUUCUGGAAUCUGAGCUGUUCUUCCAUGACCCAUCAUCCAAUUCUGCGCUUCAGGGGGAGAUACGAAGUGAAGAACAGAAUUGGAGCAACUUGGAAAACAAAGAAAUUCUCCUAUGUACAGAAAUGAUUGAUCAUCCCGAGUCUGGAGCACGAGAUUACUCUCUGUUGAAAAGUGACCAAUCGCCCAUUCAUAGCGAUCAAUUGCCUGACCCACCUGAUCCAUGCGAAGAUAUUUCUGAUCCGAGUCCCACACCUACAGACAAUACAGAACAACAAGAUGAAGACCCCCCUUCUAACUCAACAGUACCAACAGACCAAUCUCCUGAGAAUAUCCUUGAGGUAACUACUCCUACUAGACUUGUGCAUUUAAAUGAUAAAACUAUUGGAUAUCAAUUACCUUUCAGGCAAAAUCGUGGGAAGCCACCAAACCGUUAUUCACCGGAUAUUGGCAAAACAUCCAAGUAUCCAAUUGCAAAUCAUGUAUCCACUGAGAAGCUGUCUGAACCACUCAAGGCUUUUGUGCAUCAGUUGUCUGCUAUCCAUAUUCCAACCAAGGUCUCUGAAGCAUUGAAAGAUCCUAAGUGGGUCCAAGCUAUAAAAGAGGAGAUGAAAGCUCUUGAGAAAAAUCAGACUUGGACAUUGGAGACUAUACCACGAGGAAAAAAGACUAUCGGAUGUAGAUGGGUGUUUACUAUAAAACACAAUGCAGAUGGAUCUAUCGAGCGAUACAAGGCAAGACUUGUGGCAAAAGGGUACACACAGACCUAUGGUAUAGACUAUGAAGAAACUUUUGCACCAGUUGCAAAGUUAAACACCGUCAGAGUUUUAUUGUCCCUUGCAGCUAAUUUGGAUUGGCCACUACACCAGUUUGAUGUAAAGAAUGCUUUUCUACAUGGCGAACUCACGGAGGAGGUGUACAUGGACAUUCCUCCUAGAUAUAAUACUACUCAGACUAGAACAGUUUGCAGGUUACGAAAAGCAUUGUAUGGAUUGAAACAGUCACCACGUGUAUGGUUUGGACGGUUCAUCAUGGCAAUGAAGAACAAUGGUUUCAAACAGUGCAACUCAGAUCAUACUCUGUUCUUGAAACAUCAAAAAAGGAAGGUAACAGCAUUAAUAAUCUAUGUUGAUGAUAUGAUUAUUACUGGGAAUGAUAAACAGGAAAUAUCACAGUUACAAGACUAUCUGGCUACGGAGUUUGAGAUGAAGGAUCUAGGUGGACUCAAGUAUUUCUUGGGAAUUGAGGUGGCUCGAUCGCAGCAAGGCAUAUUUCUCUCUCAAAGGAAAUAUGUCUUAGACUUGUUGAUAGACACAGGAAUGCUAGAUUGUAAACCUGCGGACACUCCUAUUGUUCAGAAUCAUCAUCUUGGAGAAUAUCCGGAUCAAGUUCCAACUAACAAAGAAAGAUACCAAAGGUUAGUGGGAAGAUUGAUCUAUUUGUCACAUACUCGACCAGACAUUGCUUAUGCGGUGAGCGUUGUCAGUCAAUUUAUGCACUCUCCAAGUGAAGACCACAUGAAUGCAGUUCUUCGGAUACUUAGAUAUUUGAAGUCUGCACCUGGAAAAGGACUUAUGUUCUCAAAGCAUGGUCAUCUAAAUAUUGAUGGUUAUUCAGAUGCAGAUUGGGCAGGUAAUGUAACAGAUAGAAAAUCCACAUCGGGUUACUUCACAUUCGUGGGAGGUAAUUUGGUGACAUGGAGGAGCAAGAAACAGAAUGUAGUAGCUUUAUCCAGUGCAGAAGCCGAGUUCAGAGGCAUGACUAAAGGGAUUUGUGAACUUCUUUGGUUGAGAAAGUUGCUUAUUGAACUCGGGUAUAAACCUACAUCCACAAUAAAUCUCUUUUGUGACAACAAGGCUGCUAUAGCCAUUGCACAGAAUCCGGUUCAGCAUGAUCGUACUAAACAUGUUGAGGUGGAUUGACACUUCAUCAAACAGAAGCUUGAGGCUAAAGUGUUUCAGUUUCCUUUUGUGAAAUCCGAGGAUCAAUUGGCGGAUAUUUUGACAAAGGCGAUUUCCAGUAAAGCAUUCCACAAUUCACUGGAUCAGUUGGGCAUUGGUGACAUAUAUGCACCAACGUGAGGGUGAGUGUUGGCGUGACUUGUGGAUAUUGACUUACUUUCCUUACACACCAAGAAUUCCUAUUAUAAUUGUAAUUGAUUUACUUUAAUUGCAGCAAGAGGCAGGGACCCAAAAAAACCAGAAAGAUAAUUGAAAAAGACUUAAUUUUUAAGAAGUUAAACAAAAGAUCUCACGGAGAAGAAUACACAGAAAAUUCCCACAAACAAAUAUUCUCUCAUAAUUUUCAUAUUUUAGCAUUGAUCUACUAAGAGAAAAGGCAAAGCUUUGAGCUGAAAAACUCACUCUUCCUCUCAGGUUAAUUUUCAUUAUCAUUCUCUCUCUCUCUCUCUCUCUCUCUCUCUCUCUCUCUGAAAUUUUAUUUGUAUAAACUUUGUUUGCCCAGUGAUGUUGCUGAAUUGUUGUUUAUCUCGUUCAGUUCAUAUUUGCACCAUGAAAUCUCCACUGAGCUUUUACUCUGUUUUUGUGGGUGUGGCCAAGUUCCUUCCAUGCGCUUAAUAGAAUUUUGAACUUUUCUACUCUGUUUAUUUAUUUUUAGCAGAUUAAGUAGCUAUCUAUCCUGAUUUUUCACAAAGUGUUCAUCUUUCCUUUACCCUUUUUCAUUUUUGAUGGGAAUGUAUUUUGGGUUUGAACUUUGAACUGAAAAUUUAAUGGAAUUAUGUUAAUUCAACAAGGCUUUUGUGGGCUGCAAGUUUAUGUGCCUUAUGGUAUCCUGAAUUGUUUCAGCUUUGCAUUUAAUGUAAUUGCAAGAGUAACAUGUGUUUGGUGGGUUAAUUAAGUGAUAUUCUAUCCAUUUAUUUCCUUUUCUUCUCUUCUGUUUUGUAUAUUAUUUGGUCUUUGAGUAAAUUUAUCAGAAUUGGAUUGAUUUUGAUGAAGCAAGUAUGGGUUACUUUGUAUUUUGGUGUUAAUUUCUGGAGGAGUUGUUGGUCAACGAUUUUUUGUCUCUAGAGCAAGAACGAAGGAUUUCCUUUUAUUUCUAUCUUCUCCUUGGAUUGUCUUGUUUCUCUAAGCUAGAUUAAGUUAAUCUUGUUGUUCUUUGAAAUUCCUUGCAUUCUCUGAUGACCACUUCAGAAAUUAUCUGACUAUGAUAUAUUGAUUGGUUAGAGUUAUUCCACAAAUGGCUAAGUUUUUCUUUUCAACUAUCCCCUUUUGGAUGAUGGAUUGGUUCUUGUAAUUGCUAUGGAAUAUUCAAUGAAGGCAUUGAACUUCCAAAAGAUAAUAAUACGUGCACCCUAUAUAAACUUUACGAUGGAAUGUGUUGGCUAAUCUAAUUUUUGGAGCUUGAUUGGGUUUGUUUUAGAAUGAUUGGUAGUUUGCUUUAAUAGCACUAGGUUAAGAAUUUAUUUUUCUGUUUGGAAAUUUCAGUGCUUUGGAAAAUGUUGUAUUUGUUCAGAACCAUAAACUAUGACCUUGUUUUAAACGAAGAUUUGUCCAUUUUAUUGUUGAUUUUCUUGUUGAAGUAACUUUUCUUGUUUUUGGUUAUCACAUUGCAGAACUCUAAUGUCAGUUGAUAGUUCAUUUGGAAAGCUUCCUGAUCAUCUCCUAAUAGAAAUUUUCAUUCGAGUUCCUGUCUCAGAGUGGGCACAAAUAUCCUGUGUCAAAAAACAGUGGGCCAAUCUGUUUCGUGGAGAAUGUUUGUGGCAAGCUGCUCUUGCUACAACAUAUCCUUUGGCUAACCCAGCUAAAAGGUGGCCUGGACCUAUCCCUCGAGGGUUGAGCAAGAGGUAGCAUCACAUUUCUCCUUGCGAUGGUCAUUUCUUUUUUCUUGCUUUCUAUCCAUUUCUAACUUUCCAAUUUCUAUUAUCUCUUUUAAUAAUUACUUUCUUCUGAGUUUUUAUGUUCUAUUGUUCUGGAUUUCUAGCGAAUAAUCUCCUUUCCCAUCCUAAGCAGAUAGCUGUGACUCUUCCCUAAGAUCCACGUUAUAAUCUUGUUUCCAAAUCAAUGCAGAAAAAAUAACUUAGACUUACAAGUGCAAGGAUAUCUUUUACAGUAGCUGCUGGUCUGAUGCAUGUGCUUCACUUCAAAAUCCAUGCAUUAUAUUUUGCUAAGCUAUUGACAAUUUUCUCAGGAGAUUUGCAGCUUUAUAUGUCAGUAAACAUAUCUUUUCUCUGGAUGGUGAGAUUGAUGAGAUUGUGGGCCAUACAUAUUUAUUUCUAAAAGAGCAGCUUGAGCUUUCAACUAUGCCACCCUCUUCUAGCAUAUUGCAUGGAACCAUAAUAGGUCUGUUUCAAAUUUUGCUUGCAUUUUUCUUGCUCUCUACCUUCAUAUGUUUAGAUUUGAAAAUUUGAUAUGUGCAAUGACUAUAUUUUAGUUAAAUACUGAUCCCCAAUCUUGCAUUUGCUUCUGGCUUAUGGACAUGUUCAAUUUUUUUUGCUUUAAAUAACAUGUAUGGCAUGCAUAAGUAUACAUCCCCAUGUCUGUACCUCACAAAUUGUGAUCCAUGAUGCCAUUUGAUGUUCUAGAAUUCCAAUCUCAGUGUCCUGAUAAUUAGAAUAUGGUAUUGGAAUGUACAUGUUAUCUUGAACCUGUUAUUGUCCACUGUCAUGUGGCAAGGAUUGUUGGAUAUCAAAUCUGAUAGUGAAGUUUGGUGCUCACACUUUAGUUUUUUUAAUACCAGGCUGUAAAUUCUUUUCACAUCAUAACCCGGGAUUACUGCGUGUUUUAGCAGAUCAGUUUAUUGCUUGUGGUAAAUCGAGGGACAUGGCUCAUGAUCUUGCUUCCCAGAUCUGGCUGGCUGUUCUUGACAAUUUAGAGGAAAAUGAGCACACUUUUCAAAUACUUAAACGUCUCGCACAAGAGCGGGAUGUAAGCUAUCUUUUCUGUUAAUUAAUAUACUCACUAUAACUACUGUAGAGACACCAAGCAUACAUUAGUUCAGUCUUUUCUCUCUGACAUUUACUAUCUGAAUUGAUUUAUGAAAUUACUUAAAGAGGAUGUGUAGGCUGGUAGUAUUUUGUUUUACUGUUGGAGAAUAUGGAUGAUACUGCUGGAGAAAUUACCUGUAUUUUUGUGACAAAGCACCAUACAAACACGACCAAGUUUAUCUUGUUCUUGCAAAAUGUUUAUUUUCUUUGAUGCGGUAUGGGUCAUCCGCGGCUAAUUCAUUCAUAUUCAGCAGGUUUUUCUUCCAUACCCCUACUCAAGAUCAAUCAAAGUCCAAUGGAGGGUGUUUGAAAAGCUCUUCACAGAUUUUCGCGACUGCUUUGAUAAUGUAGAUUACUAUGAUGUGUUAUCUUGCGCAAAGACCAAAUUUCAGCCAAUACCAUCCAUUUGGUUAGGUUACUGAUCCACCUCAAAUGCCUAUUUAUUCAGGAUUCAUGAGUAUUUGUAUAUAUAUAGGGGUCACUCUUUGCUUCUGCCUUCUGUCUCAUCUCGAAGAGAAUGGCCGUCUGAAAAAUUGAAAGUCUUGUGUACCAUGCUUGAUAGGAGCAAAAAGAAACUGUUUAUAUUUGUACUGUUAAUAGUUGCAUGAUUCGAAUACGUACCCAAACAGAGGAGAAGAGUUGCUUGAAAUUUUUUGUUGUAUAACUACAACCACGAGAAUGUAAUGCAACUUGAAAUUAUAUUUUAGCAUAAAGCCGUGAAAAUGAUUCUUUUAGGGUCAACCCCCUUAUUUUUUGCUAGACUAAUUUCUAAAUGCCAUUAGAAGUUACAACUUUUGUGGACUGCAAUGUGAAAUUGCCACCCAGGUUGGGGAAGAAAGUUGGUAGAAAUUAGAAUUGUCUAAAAGAAAUCAAUGAGAGAUAAACACUAAUUUUAUUUUGGACAAAAUUAAAUUAAUAAAUAAGGUUACGGUAUUAGUUUAGUACAAUGGUAUAUAUAAAAUCUCUGUUGUUAAGAUUAUCAAAUCCGUUGUAGUCUAGUUGGUCAGGAUACUCGGCUCUCACCCGAGAGACCCGGGUUCAAGUCCCGGCAACGGAAGUUUUAUUUUUUAAUUUUAAUUUUCACGAUAUCAAGCGUUUUGGUUGAAGGCCUCCCCUAUGAUUAUGGCAGUAGACUAUCGAAACAGACUUGUCUUCUGUGGGCCCAAAGUAUUUUGAACCCCACAAGAGUUUUUAUUUCACUUUUAUUUUUAUGUUGAAAUAUAACGGUUAUUUUAUUUUAUUUUUUUGUUGAUUACGGAUACGUGUUCAAGUAUUUUUUUUUUCUUUUCUUUUUAUUAAGAGUUUUUUAAGAGGAAAUUGUUAUUAGCACUCUAAAAUAAGUUAUUCACUUAUAUUUUUAUGUUGAAAUAUAAUGUUUAUUUUAUUUUAUUUUUAUGUUGAUUAGGGAUACAUGCUCAAGUUUUUUUUUUUUUUUCUUUUCAUUAAGAAUUUUCUAAGAGAAAAUUGUUAUUAUUACUCUAAAAUAAUUCAUCCUCCAUUAAUAAAGGAGUAUAUGAUAACUAUUUGGAACGUUAAUAACAACUUCUAUAAUAAAAACUUUAUUGUUUGUCUGUCUUUAUUUACUUUGUGCUUGACUUGUUUUCUUUGUUUGUCCAAGUACAUAGUAUUGAUACUGAUGCAAAACAUGUGAGAUAGUAUUUGGAGCCGAACGUUUUUAAGUUUGUGAGAUAUACUAUGUUCAUACAUCUGAUAUAAGAUUUAAGCACAAAUAAAUUACGAUCAUUUGUCAUUUUACUUUUAAUUGUUUCUACGAUAAGGAGAGACAAACUACCUUUAACUAGAAUUAUGUUUUGUUUCUAUCCAACUAUCAAAUGAUAACAAUAAACUAAUACAUCAUAAUACAGUAUAUGCACUUAUUAUCAUCACAUCAUAACAUAAAAUAAAAUCAAGAUUUCUAGCAUUUUUCUUCAUUUUCGAUCCUUUCUAACUAGGUUUCUUGGAUUUGAACUUGAGAUUGCAAUCUCAUAUGUAAUGGCACAAAUGAGAAUGUUACCAAUCAUAUAUGAUCGCCUGGAUGAGAAUGUUGAGGUAACGAAUGUUUUCAUGUAAUUCCUCCAAUAUCUUAACUAUAGAUACAUAUACACAAUAUAUAUAAUGUGUUUUCAUUUCUUUCUUGAUCUAUUUUCGAUGGAUUGCCAAUUUAAUAUAUUUCUACACCAAAUAAGCACAUAUUUCAUGAGGUUAGUCAAUCACAUGAAUUACUCACCAUGCUCUUAAGUGUGAAAUUUGAUUGGAUGGCAAUUUUCCACCGACAACAAAUUGCAAAAUAAUUU